GAUGAACGCUGGCGGCGUGCCUAAUACAUGCAAGUCGAGCGAACAGACGAGGAGCUUGCUCCUCUGACGUUAGCGGCGGACGGGUGAGUAACACGUGGAUAACCUACCUAUAAGACUGGGAUAACUUCGGGAAACCGGAGCUAAUACCGGAUAAUAUAUUGAACCGCAUGGUUCAAUAGUGAAAGACGGUUUUGCUGUCACUUAUAGAUGGAUCCGCGCCGCAUUAGCUAGUUGGUAAGGUAACGGCUUACCAAGGCAACGAUGCGUAGCCGACCUGAGAGGGUGAUCGGCCACACUGGAAGUGAGACACGGUCCAGACUCCUACGGGAGGCAGCAGUAGGGAAUCUUCCGCAAUGGGCGAAAGCUUGACGGAGCAACGCCGCGUGAGUGAUGAAGGUCUUCGGAUCGUAAAACUCUGUUAUUAGGGAAGAACAAAUGUGUAAGUAACUAUGCACGUCUUGACGGUACCUAAUCAGAAAGCCACGGCUAACUACGU
Molecule: ribosomal RNA, 496 nt
Filed under: uncultured bacterium
Lineage: Bacteria
Description: partial 16S ribosomal RNA
Rfam family: Bacterial small subunit ribosomal RNA
Source: RNAcentral